Molecule: ribosomal RNA, 433 nt
Filed under: uncultured bacterium
Lineage: Bacteria
Description: partial 16S ribosomal RNA
Rfam family: Bacterial small subunit ribosomal RNA
Source: RNAcentral
AACGAACGCUGGCGGCAUGCCUAACACAUGCAAGUCGAACGAGACCUUCGGGUCUAGUGGCGCACGGGUGCGUAACGCGUGGGAACCUGCCCUUAGGUUCGGAAUAACUCCCCGAAAGGGGUGCUAAUACCGGAUAAUGUCUUCGGACCAAAGAUUUAUCGCCUUUGGAUGGGCCCGCGUUGGAUUAGCUAGUUGGUAGGGUAAAAGCCUACCAAGGCGACGAUCCAUAGCUGGUCUGAGAGGAUGAUCAGCCACACUGGGACUGAGACACGGCCCAGACUCCUACGGGAGGCAGCAGUGGGGAAUAUUGGACAAUGGGCGAAAGCCUGAUCCAGCAAUGCCGCGUGAGUGAUGAAGGCCUUAGGGUUGUUAAGCUCUUUUACCCGGGAUGAUAAUGACAGUACCGGGAGAAUAAGCUCCGGCUAACUCCGUG